CGGGCCCUUUGUGACCACNUAAAGCUGCUUAAUCAACGAUUNUGGAUAACUGUCNNUGGCCAGNUGGNAAUUGCCCACCUCAUCUGGAGCCUAUCUUACUACCUUGGAUAAACCGUGCUAUUUCUAGAACUAAUAGGUGGUAUGUACCCCGAGNUCGGAAGUGAUGUAUUAUUAGAUUAAAAACCACUGCCCUUCGGGGCUCCCUGGUGAAUCAUAAUAACUUCUCCACUCUCCCGGCUUGAAGCGAGUGUUAGUUCAUUCCCAUGGCUUCCCGGANCAAUGGACUAUCCCAGACUACUGUCCUGUCAUGGUCAUUACGGGUAAAAGAUGGUUAGGGCUCCACCACCUAUAAUGANCCCGAAAUUCCG
This 368-nucleotide ribosomal RNA is filed under the name Colletotrichum graminicola. RNAcentral's name for it is "partial 18S ribosomal RNA". Lineage: Eukaryota; Fungi; Ascomycota; Sordariomycetes; Glomerellales; Glomerellaceae. The record is from RNAcentral.